GUGUAUGCCAUACAGGGGCAAUUGACUGCAGACCAGGAAAAUAAAAAGAGAGAUCACGGUGUAUAUCACCUUUUCUCUGAAUGGAAUUUUCCUGUCAGCACUUUGAACUUCAGGCAAGAAUGCCAGAAAUGGCCUGACAAGAUGAAGUACUCUGAAUCCCCCAGCCAUUUUCCGUGAUGUGUAGAUCUAGAAGAGAAAUUGAGGGCGGCGAGAAGGGGACGGACGGUCUAGGGCUUGCAGCGGAAAGGGGAGGGCGGC
Molecule: unclassified non-coding RNA, 258 nt
Filed under: Hevea brasiliensis (rubber tree)
Lineage: Eukaryota; Viridiplantae; Streptophyta; Magnoliopsida; Malpighiales; Euphorbiaceae
Source: RNAcentral